AACAAUAAUUUAAAAAACAGAUAGAUUGUUGUUCUGAUAGAAUCCUGAGAUACUUCACUUCUUCAGGAAAAUCUAAACCAGUCAAUGGUUGCUAGAAAUGCCUCAACCUCUAGUAAUCCUUUAACUAGACCUGAGACUGCAGACAGCUUGCGGGUGGUUAGUUGGUAAUGCCAUAUGAUUUUAGACAUCUGCUGUACUGGAAUGUUAAGCAUCAGGAUUGAGGACAACUGGACGAUUUUAGAAAGUGUGAGAAUGAUGUAAAUAGAAUGAGAGUCUUCAACUAUUUAGUAAUUUUUUUCUCCUGUCCCAACUUCUGUUCUUUCAAGCAAUGCCCUGCCCGAAGGAAGACACUCCCAAUUCUGUUUGGGAGCCUGUGAAGGCAAAAUAUGUGUUUAGAGAUGUGGUGCAGAUAACCUGUCUGGAUGGGUUUGAAGUUGUGGAGGGACGUGUUGGUGCAACAUCUUUCUAUUCGACUUGUCAAAGCAAUGGAAAGUGGAGUAAUUCCAAACUGAAAUGUCAACCUGUGGACUGUGGCAUUCCU
Molecule: small RNA, 541 nt
Filed under: Pan troglodytes (chimpanzee)
Lineage: Eukaryota; Metazoa; Chordata; Mammalia; Primates; Hominidae
Description: retained intron
Source: RNAcentral